UGUGCGCCUGCCCUCUCGGUGUCGGAGAGACGCCCUUCCACCUCUGGGAACUUCGGUCUGUGGGGGUCGCGGAGUUCGGGCGCGGCUCCGGGUACCCGAGACCAGCGGCGGCAACGUCUAACACGGGAGAUUUCCCGCCCCCCCACCCCGCCGCCGCGAGUUCCCGCGGGGCGUGUAGCGUGCGGAGAAUCGACGGGAUUUCUCUGGCUGUCGUUUGCGCUGCAUUUAUCCGAAUAAAUCCAGCUCGCAAGCAUCCUGCAAGAAACGGCUCCCGGCUCGCGUGUACACCGACACCUCGGCCCAACGCAGGACUCGAGGUGGCUUCUAGUGCCCGGGUGGCUGCAAGUCUGGCCUCCGAAGGAGGCUGGACAAGCGGCGCCCCCAGGUCGAGCGGCCUCUCGUUGCCUGGCAGUGCCUGGCAGCCCCCCCUCUGCCGGUGCUUCAGCAACCCUCCUGGCCAGGUUCGCCCGCGGUGAAAAAUGAAAGCAAAUUCCCCAACAAAGGUAGCCGGAACUUUCCUCGACGAAGGCUCCCUCCUGCGCCUGUGUCUCGGAGAACCCCCAGAGGGCUGCAAGUUAGCAAGAGAGAUUCGAUGACGGCUCUGGAAGGCGCGCGAAGGGUGGGGCGG
This 628-nucleotide non-coding RNA is filed under the name Pongo abelii (Sumatran orangutan). Lineage: Eukaryota; Metazoa; Chordata; Mammalia; Primates; Hominidae. The record is from RNAcentral.